RNAcentral lists this ribosomal RNA (4306 nucleotides) under Triticum aestivum (bread wheat). RNAcentral describes it as "partial small subunit ribosomal RNA". Lineage: Eukaryota; Viridiplantae; Streptophyta; Magnoliopsida; Poales; Poaceae. The record is from RNAcentral.
UCAACCGGAUUCGAGGACGGAGCGCGACAGCGCGUGCCGCGACUUUGUAAGCACGCGCCGGUCGAGUGCAUCGCGCCGCGCCGUCGUCGGCCGGUGGCGGCUGGCGGAGAGUUCUCGGCGAGCUCGCCGCGUCGUCGGAGCGUUUGCACAAUAGCGGUGUUCAGGUAUCAGGUCUCGUCGCGCCCUCUAAGACGGACGGUAGGGGUGGGGCUGGCACUGCGGCCAUUCCACAAGCGAGAUUACGGACGGUCGGUCGGUCGGGCGCCUCUCUUUCGACCGGCACGUAAGGCCGCUAAGAAACAGAGUAAAAUAACACCAGGUAGUCCUAGGUGCCUGCGAAAGGGGCGGGACUAAAACCUGCUUGCCUUAGUCGGGACGGCCUGGCCACUUAGACGUAGACGUAGACCUGCGCGGCCGCGGACGCACCUGUCGCCCUAGCGCGCGGUACGCAACCAACCUGUCGUUCGCGCUUCGGCUUCGGCUAGGCUACCCGCGACAGUCCCCGAAAACCCUGGUACCUUUGACCCGCCCCCGCUGCACCCGCGGUCGGCGCGCUUCGGUCUCGGCCCCUGCCGUGAAAUGAACGGACGCCACGAUUGCAUCGGCGCGGGACGCGGUGGUCAGUAGGUGAGAGGUGGCCGGCAGAGGAGGAGAACUGGGUCCCGGUCCCUCCUAAAGUGGGCGGCUCCGACUCGGCUCAGUGGCCAGUCGGGGAGCGAAGGAAGGACGAGAGCGGAGGAGCCGAGAAGGGGGCGACGGGGCGCGGUGGCGGAGGCGGCCGUCGGCCCUGGCACCUCGUUGCCGUACAGAGAACUAGAGAAAAGCAGGUCCAAGAACAAAAGAAGACCGCGACGCUUCUUCGAGGGGUCGUCCUCUUCCCAGUGCAAGCAGCGACGACGAGGAAGCAGAGGCAGGUGUGGUAGCGGCGGUGCCAGCGUCCUACGGAGGAGAAGAAGGUCCGUUUCCUCACAUGCACGGUGCGGCAACUCAGGGUUGUUUCCACGCAGAGCUGGACGGCCAUCGUUACCGUCCUGAUCCUCCUCCUCCGUCUCCUCCUGCCAGCUCCCUCCUGUUCUUGUUCCGUCGACGCACGGCAGCCACCUCCUCCGCAGGUAUUCCCAUCCCUGCGACAUACUCUUGCCGCUAGGUGAUCCCGCCUUCCUCGAACCGGCCACACAGCACCUCACCGAUUCCGUCCCCUACGUCAGGUACCGUAGGUUUAAGCGAAGGCGGCUCGAAGUCCCACUGUACCGCCUGGAGUGGUGUCGCCGUAACUGAGACUUAACCCCUAGCCGUCUUCCGGUCGAACCCAAACACUAGGUCCGUGUCGGGAUAGAGAGUAGGUAGGGGUACGGGUUCCCAGACCUCAGUGAGACGAAGUUCCGGACAUGCGUGAUGGGGUGGGAAAAACUGGUAAAGGUCGCACUCGAGGCACCACAGGACGACUCAAUAGUCUUGGUCCCCGAGUAGACCCUGACCGCGAGGUGCGUCUGUACCUUCGACAACUUCCUUUACCGGUUAAGAUGAGUAGUGGCCCGUCGACACGCGUCCUGCUGUGGUGCUUGAUUUCGCCAAGUAUCAUCGUAACCGCAUUCGGAGUUCUUCCAUUCCGACUACGUCCUAUCCUAACUUCUGAAACACUCCGUAUACAGUCUCGAUGACGCGUAGCUCGCUCUACGCCUCGACCUCAAAUGUGUCCUCCUCGACUUACGGUGGUGAUACGAGCUGUUGUUAAGGUUCGGUAGGUUCGGUCAUCUCAUGAACCACUGGGUACCCGUCCGAGUCGUCCUCGUCACACUGUGGUAAACGUUGAACUCACAGUAGUCGUCGAGUUGACCUAAUCCUCCAGAUGUAAACCAAGAUAAAUCUUAACUUCCACUUGUGUUCGACGGAGGUUGGUGUGACAGUGGACCCCUGUACCAAACACACUCUUGUACAUUAUCGGCACCACUCCCUCGGUGAAGAACGUACGUUCCGAAAGAAAUAUUAGAGCCCCUCCUACCAACGUCGUAUUGACACCGAGACCUUAGAGCGGUACCACUGGGUUGGAAGAGGUCCAAUAAACCCUUUUCACACGCGUAACUGGCCUAUGUCCCUAACCGACUACGUGAAUGAAUACUCGCCUUAGAACUUCGUAACUACGAUGAAGUUUCCUUACCAAACGACUUUUCAUUACGAAGGUAACUACACCAUCGAUGAGACAAGCCACUGUCGUUUCUACAGUACUUCUACCUCGUCUUAACGGACUAACUAACCCCACUUAGUUCACAUGGACUAGGUUCCGAUAGUCUCUCCACACGUAAACUACUGAGGGUCAAUUCCCGAGAGAGUAAUCCGGACUUGUUCUUCUCCGGACAAGAUCAGUAGGUCCCCGGAGGACCGUGUCCGUUCUGUCAAAACGAGUGCCUUGAGUAACAUGCACGACAGGCCGUCCCACUUUCACAGGAACACUGUCGAGGUUCGUUACGCCGUCAGCUAUUGUACCAACUUUCCAAUAGUUCUUGAACGAAUUUGUAACACGCUCAACCUUUGGGACGAGCCUAUAGUGGUAGCCAAUGAAGCUUCAGGAACCGUCUCUAACAUUUACCUUCCGAACCAGUCAAAUCCUUCCUCGAACUCUCUUUCUCUUGACUGAAUUCUUUCCUGAACUCCCUGACGUAUCUCCUGCUAAGAAAUCGACGUCCGUAAGCAGUUGAAGACUUCGUUGAACCCUCCCUAGACCUUUACUUUCUUUUUCUUUGCUAGUACCUUCACGAUAGACUACGUGUCCAACACGAAAGAUGAUUGUGUCCCCGUCGGCUAGGUGAAUAGUCCUUUUGACCAACAAAACUGAACCAUUAAUAUCUACUUCGUCCAGUUCCUUAACUCGGGAGAACGACCUAAGGGUAUGACGUCCCUUUUGCAACAUAAGAACGCCCACUAGUAACGGUUGAACGUGGACGGUAUAACAGUUCCUUCCGGGACCUUCCACCCGAACCAUUUAGAUACUACCUUUCCCGAAGUAACAACGUACUACCUAAUGAAUGAUGUUCUGACUGUCAGGUCGUAUCUUACGUACUAAGUUAUCGGUCAACCCGUAGAUUUCUCUACAUAGUCCCCAAUGAGGUCAGAAGUGUAAGCCAACGAAGCGUAGAAGAACGGCUGAGAGGUCAACAUUUCCUAUGAACCUAUUGUGCCACGGGUGACGAAAAUGAACUAUGGGCUUACGGUAUACCUUAAGAUUUGCAACUAACACACCUCGUAAAUCUGGGACGACCGUGGCCUAGUAAAAUAUUACUGCCUCUUCGUCUUUAUCAAUGUGUUGUACAAGAGUUAGAACACGUAACACCUCACAGAGGUUUACUCUAUCGGUAGGUCAGUGGGAUGUAACGAGUUCAAGUUAAUAAUUCUCUCUUCAAUCUUCUUAUAGGCCUCGAAAGACCCCAACUCCAAAGUUGUCAUCUAUCGAAAGUUCCCUCCCUCCGUCUACGCCACCAGGAUAGUUACCAAGCCAGUUUGGGUGACCCUCGACAUCCCAAGUACCCGCUGUCGUCCGAUUACUUACACCGAUAGUGUUCCCGUGCGGCCGUACAGUGACACCAUACACUGUGGAGCUGGUAAACGGUGUCGUGGAAGGAACGGGCCGAGGAGGCAGUAUAGUCCGCCAUACCUGUUCAUUUUGUACAACGUGGACCAAGGGAUCUACCCCAGAGGCCUGAGCCGAAGUCGGUUGGGUGAGAGGGCAGAUAGUCGAUCGCGAGGGGCGUCAAGUGACAGAACUACCGUAUUAAGUAAGUAUACGAGUAUACUCGUACAUAUAUACGCUUCUCGAUUUCCUACAUAUAUGUCAGUACGCUUUUUUGACUUCCGACUCUUUGAUAUUACGGGCAGAGUCUGCACGGACAGACCAUAGUUAGACACUUCUUCUGCUUCUUGAGCUCUUCUAUACUUCUCUUUAACCACCUAUCUGUACCUUCUCGAAGCGGUCCACACACCAAUAGAACUCUACUGGUGUGUGGACACGGUACACCAAGCGGUCCACACACCAACUAUACUUCGUACCGGUAAGCAACCUGGAUUGACUUCCGAAUCGACUAGUACGUAGGGACUUAACCACGUGCACUAAGUAAGUCGUCUUCCUUCUGAUGGAGUGAAGGACAUUUAAGAUUGAUUAUAACAACUGUACCUAUGGGGUUGUGUCUGCACAUCAUUUAACUGUUAAGUGUUAACUCAACCUUUUUCUUACGUAAAGUAGAGCUUCAAUUUACUGUGUUAUAGUUCAAUGUCCGCGCAAAGAGAAUUAGGGACCUUUCUUUUUCUUUUUUUG